ACGAGUUCUGAUUAUUGAAAGGUGCUUGCAUCUUGAUUUAAUUUUGAACGAGUGGCGGACGGGUGAGUAACACGUGGGUAACCUGCCCUUAAGUGGGGGAUAACAUUUGGAAACAGAUGCUAAUACCGCAUAAAUCCAAGAACCGCAUGGUUCUUGGCUGAAAGAUGGCGUAAGCUAUCGCUUUUGGAUGGACCCGCGGCGUAUUAGCUAGUUGGUGAGGUAACGGCUCACCAAGGCAAUGAUACGUAGCCGAACUGAGAGGUUGAUCGGCCACAUUGGGACUGAGACACGGCCCAAACUCCUACGGGAGGCAGCAGUAGGGAAUCUUCCACAAUGGACGCAAGUCUGAUGGAGCAACGCCGCGUGAGUGAAGAAGGCUUUCGGGUCGUAAAACUCUGUUGUUGGAGAAGAAUGGUCGGCAGAGUAACUGUUGUCGGCGUGACGGUAUCCAACCAGAAAGCCACGGCUAACUACGUGCCAGCAGCCGCGGUAAUACGUAGGUGGCAAGCGUUAUCCGGAUUUAUUGGGCGUAAAGCGAGCGCAGGCGGUUUUUUAAGUCUGAUGUGAAAGCCCUCGGCUUAACCGAGGAAGUGCAUCGGAAACUGGGAAACUUGAGUGCAGAAGAGGACAGUGGAACUCCAUGUGUAGCGGUGAAAUGCGUAGAUAUAUGGAAGAACACCAGUGGCGAAGGCGGCUGUCUGGUCUGUAACUGACGCUGAGGCUCGAAAGCAUGGGUAGCGAACAGGAUUAGAUACCCUGGUAGUCCAUGCCGUAAACGAUGAAUGCUAGGUGUUGGAGGGUUUCCGCCCUUCAGUGCCGCAGCUAACGCAUUAAGCAUUCCGCCUGGGGAGUACGACCGCAAGGUUGAAACUCAAAGGAAUUGACGGGGGCCCGCACAAGCGGUGGAGCAUGUGGUUUAAUUCGAAGCAACGCGAAGAACCUUACCAGGUCUUGACAUCUUUUGAUCACCUGAGAGAUCAGGUUUCCCCUUCGGGGGCAAAAUGACAGGUGGUGCAUGGUUGUCGUCAGCUCGUGUCGUGAGAUGUUGGGUUAAGUCCCGCAACGAGCGCAACCCUUAUGACUAGUUGCCAGCAUUUAGUUGGGCACUCUAGUAAGACUGCCGGUGACAAACCGGAGGAAGGUGGGGAUGACGUCAAAUCAUCAUGCCCCUUAUGACCUGGGCUACACACGUGCUACAAUGGAUGGUACAACGAGUUGCGAGACCGCGAGGUCAAGCUAAUCUCUUAAAGCCAUUCUCAGUUCGGACUGUAGGCUGCAACUCGCCUACACGAAGUCGGAAUCGCUAGUAAUCGCGGAUCAGCACGCCGCGGUGAAUACGUUCCCGGGCCUUGUACACACCGCCCGUCACACCAUGAGAGUUUGUAACACCCGAAGCCGGUGGCGUAACCCUUUUAGGGAGCGAGCCGUCUAA
RNAcentral lists this ribosomal RNA (1432 nucleotides) under Lacticaseibacillus rhamnosus. RNAcentral's name for it is "bacterial SSU rRNA". It matches the Rfam family "Bacterial small subunit ribosomal RNA". Lineage: Bacteria; Bacillati; Bacillota; Bacilli; Lactobacillales; Lactobacillaceae. The record is from RNAcentral.